This 253-nucleotide ribosomal RNA is filed under the name uncultured bacterium. RNAcentral describes it as "partial 16S ribosomal RNA". It matches the Rfam family "Bacterial small subunit ribosomal RNA", at positions 524 to 776 of the family's 1533-position model. The record is from RNAcentral.
GACAGAGGGUGCAAACGUUGUUCGGAAUUACUGGGCGUAAAGCGCGUGUAGGCGGCAAGGCAAGUCGGGUGUGAAAGCCCUGGGCUCAACCCGGGAAGUGCAUUCGAUACUGCUAAGCUAGAGUCCCGGAGAGGAUGGUGGAACUCUCGGUGUAGAGGUGAAAUUCGUAGAUAUCGAGAAGAACACCGGUGGCGAAGGCGGCCAUCUGGACGGUGACUGACGCUGAGACGCGAAAGCGUGGGGAGCAAACAGG